This 2039-nucleotide unclassified non-coding RNA is filed under the name Hevea brasiliensis (rubber tree). The record is from RNAcentral. Lineage: Eukaryota; Viridiplantae; Streptophyta; Magnoliopsida; Malpighiales; Euphorbiaceae.
AGAGCGAGAGAGAGAGAGAGAGAUGGUAUAAAGAUCAUAGACAAAGAUUGAAUCACAAAAGAAUAAAAGUAUGUUCAGAAACAUUCAAACCAUAUAUAUAACAGCUAGAUAUCAAAAUAUCUAAAAUAGAGGCAGAUAAAACAAGAAGAAGAAAGGUUAACUAUAAGCUAUGCUUGAAAAGCACCAUUCACGUUGUCUUCACAUCAUGGUUUAAUGAGAUAUGUUAUGACCUCUAUAAUCUAGGCAUGUUACUACUUCGAAAUUUCCACAAUCAAUGACUCCAAAACAUCUCCAUUGAAUGACAAAUCUACAGGCGUAUGCCUUCUCACUUUUUUUUGUUAUGGCUUUUAACUGAGCCUCAAAUUAGAACCAACACCUUGUCCUUUUUUUUUUUUCUUCCUUCUCUGAGUUAUCUGAGCAACCAAACAAACAACUGAAAGCAAACUUUAAUGAAAAGACUCCUUAAAACCUCAAUUGAGCUAACAAUAACCCAGAAGCCCAAACUCCAACCAAUUCGAAUUAAGCAAUUUUGUUAGUCAAACCCCUUCUUUGGAUGUCCUCCAUACAUGAAACUACACCAAGUUCAGAUUAAAAUUUCACUUUAACCCAUCAAAAGCCAACAACCACCUUUACCUUAAGUAGAGCAACCAAACUCACCAUUGUAGCACCCACAAUGAAUUAACUCUAUCUCCAUGAAGGCCACAAAUGAUAUUGUACAGCCACAAACUGUUUAUCCUUCAAAGCAACAAUUAGAACUACUACAAUCAAUGCCACAGUCAUAGCCUAAGACCAUAAUUUUUAGUUUUUUAUUGGAAUGCCUAUGCAAUCAUGCUUGCAACUUUUCGAUGUCAGAUUCUUUACUGCAUACCUCAGUUGAUUAGAUGCUUUAGGAUCGGGAACAUUUGAUUGCAUUUGCAUGGAUAUUGAAUGAGAUAAUGAGAGGAUUCAAGGGCAUAUUUUUAAAUAAAAAAAUAUAAUAUUUCAUUUGAAAACCUGUUACAUGAGAGUUUUGACCUCAUAAUUACUUUACUUCCCUCAAAAAUUGAACUUGUAAAUUAGCCUAGGACAGUAAAAAAAUUGCAUUUGUAUUUAGUUUUUUGCAAAAUUGAGUAACUAACAAUGGAAUAGCAUAAGUAAAUUAAAUCAAAACAGCUCAAUCUAAGAGUACAGACUUACACAACUUGUAUCUCUUUUUGAGAAACCAUUUAUCAGAUGCAUCAGUAGUAUAGUAUGUGCACAAAUAAGUUAACAUCGUAACACACAUAGAUAUCAUCAAAUGACAAACCCUGAUCUAGUCUAACGAGAUCCAAAUAAAAUGCAAAAAGUCACCUAAAAGAUCCAUAAUCAAACAGUAAAACCCAAGACCCAUUUGGUGGGUAUUCACAUAAAUAAUUACCAAAUAAUAUAAUGCAACAGAAAACAAAAAAAAUUCAUAACUCUCGAAAACCCAGAUAGUUAAAUUUCGCAAUAACACGUGAUGAGAUCAUGGAAAAAUAGAGAAGAAAAAUGAUUCCAGAAUAGAAAACCCUUCAAUCCGUAGAGAGAUGAGAAAUGAUUUUAUAUUUUGAGGGAAAAAAGCCGAGAAUAGCAAGUGAAAUAUCAAAGCUCGUCAGCUUUCAUGGACAACCAUAAAUAACGAAGGAGAAGAAGAAGGAGAGGAGGGAAGGUGAGGAAGGCAGAGAACCCAUACCAAUUGUCAAAUCAGUUCCAAUGCUCCAUAUCGUGCAAAAGAAGCUCACUCUAAUCAUUAUUGUCCUUUCCAAGCACUCUCCUGAUUCACUGUCAAAUCAAACAUAAAUAAAUUUAUUUGAGCAGGCAAAACAUCCAAGGAAGCUAACAGCUCAAAAUCUCGUCACUGAUUGAAGAAAUACUCUACAAACGAAAGAACAUUGCUCGAAGGAACUACUGAAAGAGGAGGAAAACGCAAAUGAAAACGGCGAACAAAUAAGAAAAACGGCGUCGUUUUGGAUAGUUAGCGUGUUGGAAGCAAAUUGGGGAAACCGACGCCGAAACGAGGAGAAAAAAAACGCUUCUCCGAA